UAAUUUAAAACGAAGUUUAGG
Non-coding RNA from Caenorhabditis elegans, 21 nucleotides. The record is from Ensembl. NCBI's taxonomy places the organism in Eukaryota, Metazoa, Nematoda, Chromadorea, Rhabditida, Rhabditidae.